RNAcentral lists this ribosomal RNA (272 nucleotides) under Salmonella enterica. RNAcentral's name for it is "partial 23S ribosomal RNA". It matches the Rfam family "Bacterial large subunit ribosomal RNA", at positions 2676 to 2925 of the family's 2925-position model. RNAcentral also lists the same sequence under 1 other name. Lineage: Bacteria; Pseudomonadati; Pseudomonadota; Gammaproteobacteria; Enterobacterales; Enterobacteriaceae. The record is from RNAcentral.
UCCUAGUACGAGAGGACCGGAGUGGACGCAUCACUGGUGUUCGGGUUGUCAUGCCAAUGGCACUGCCCGGUAGCUAAAUGCGGAAGAGAUAAGUGCUGAAAGCAUCUAAGCACGAAACUUGCCCCGAGAUGAGUUCUCCCUGAGACUUUAAGUCUCCUGAAGGAACGUUAAAGACGAUGACGUUGAUAGGCCGGGUGUGUAAGCGCAGCGAUGCGUUGAGCUAACCGGUACUAAUGAACCGUGAGGCUUAACCUUACAACGCCGAAGCUGUU